This 490-nucleotide ribosomal RNA is filed under the name uncultured bacterium. RNAcentral's name for it is "partial 16S ribosomal RNA". It matches the Rfam family "Bacterial small subunit ribosomal RNA", at positions 30 to 507 of the family's 1533-position model. The record is from RNAcentral.
AUUGAACGCUGGCGGCAGGCCUAACACAUGCAAGUCGAACGGUAACAGGAAGAAGCUUGCUUCUUUGCUGACGAGUGGCGGACGGGUGAGUAAUGUCUGUGAAACUGCCUGAUGGAGGGGGAUAACUACUGGAAACGGUAGCUAAUACCGCAUAACGUCGCAAGACCAAAGAGGGGGACCUUCGGGCCUCUUGCCAUCGUAUGUGCCCAGAUGGGAUUAGCUAGUAGGUGGGGUAACGGCUCACCUAGGCGACGAUCCCUAGCUGGUCUGAGAGGAUGACCAGCCACACUGGAACUGAGACACGGUCCAGACUCCUACGGGAGGCAGCAGUGGGGAAUAUUGCACAAUGGGCGCAAGCCUGAUGCAGCCAUGCCGCGUGUAUGAAGAAGGCCUUCGGGUUGUAAAGUACUUUCAGCGGGGAGGAAGGGAGUAAAGUUAAUACCUUUGCUCAUUGACGUUACCCGCAGAAGAAGCACCGGCUAACUCCGUG